RNAcentral lists this transfer RNA (77 nucleotides) under Rickettsia rickettsii. Its description in RNAcentral is "tRNA-Val". It matches the Rfam family "tRNA". Rfam says of the family: Transfer RNA (tRNA) molecules are approximately 80 nucleotides in length. Their secondary structure includes four short double-helical elements and three loops (D, anti-codon, and T loops). The record is from RNAcentral. Lineage: Bacteria; Pseudomonadati; Pseudomonadota; Alphaproteobacteria; Rickettsiales; Rickettsiaceae. RNAcentral also lists the same sequence under 11 other names.
GGGUGAUUAGCUCAGUUGGUUAGAGCAUUACGUUGACAUCGUAAAGGUUGAGGGUUCGAAUCCCCCAUCGCCCACCA